Molecule: long non-coding RNA, 1022 nt
Organism: Dermochelys coriacea (leatherback sea turtle)
Lineage: Eukaryota; Metazoa; Chordata; Testudines; Dermochelyidae
Exons: 3
Source: RefSeq, a predicted model, not a curated record
UCCACUUUGCACAUUUUAAAAUGUGUCUAGAUUAGGAAAAAUUGUCAGGGUUAGAUAAACCUCACGUAGAUGCAAGGGUGUAGUUUGUGGGAUGGGAGGGUCGCCCCUCCCCUCCAAACUGCAGGCCUCGACAGUUGUGGAAUUUGCCCCCCCCCAUGCAGAGUUCUGUUGGCCUGACUGAAGCUGGCCCCCCAAAUGUAGAAGUCAAACUAUGCCUGGGUGGAGAUCUUUUACCUCCAGUGAGCUGGUUGAGGUUGACUGCCGGGUACUCCUAGAAUUAACCCACUAAAAAUUCUACCAAUGUUACCAGCAAACAAAAAGGCUAUCAUUUAAAUCCCAUAGUAUUCUUAUAUUCUAGCACUGAUUAAAUCCUUUUGUUUCAGAUCAGCCCAAAUGAAAUUGGAAGAUUUUCAGAUUUCCCAUUGUCAAAGAAAACACUGAAAGGUUUGCAAGAAGCACAGUAUCACAUGGUAACUGAGAUACAGAGGCAGAUCAUAGGCUUGUCGUUGCCAGGGAAAGAUGUACUUGGAGCUGCAAAGACUGAAUCAGGCAAAACCUUGGCAUUUAUUAUCCCAGUAAGUAAUUGACCUUCUCAUUGGAAGCUUGAGCUAUGUAAAGUGAAGGUAUUGGACAGUAAACAGCAUAUUUUGGUUAACCUGAGCCAGGAGGAGACUUAUAAUUUGACUGUAAUAUUUGUUCACAUAAAGCUAUGACAGACUGAUUUAUGUAUUGUUGUCUGAGGUUUUGUAAGAUGGUCUGGGUAUAUUUUUGUCUCUAGAAAUGUUUUGACACUUUGAUAUCAUGUUCUGACAUUUUUAUUGACUGAUUUUUUAAAAAAAAAGAUUUUUCUUGAUUGUCCUUUACUGAUAUAGUUGUCUGCUAAAAUUAUUUAAAAUUGAAUGUCUGUAUGGAAUAAGUGUAAAAUUGAUCAAGGAACCUGUUUACAAUUAAUCUUCACUAAAUAUGUAAGAUAUAGUUCAUUGUAGGUUAGGCUAGAGUUCAUGAAAAUGGUUUGCAAAUUA